AGCGAACGCUGGCGGCAGGCCUAACACAUGCAAGUCGAACGAACUCUUCGGAGUUAGUGGCGGACGGGUGAGUAACACGUGGGAACGUGCCUUUAGGUUCGGAAUAACUCAGGGAAACUUGUGCUAAUACCGAAUGUGCCCUUCGGGGGAAAGAUUUAUCGCCUUUAGAGCGGCCCGCGUCUGAUUAGCUAGUUGGUGAGGUAAAGGCUCACCAAGGCGACGAUCAGUAGCUGGUCUGAGAGGAUGAUCAGCCACAUUGGGACUGAGACACGGCCCAAACUCCUACGGGAGGCAGCAGUGGGGAAUCUUGCGCAAUGGGCGAAAGCCUGACGCAGCCAUGCCGCGUGAAUGAUGAAGGUCUUAGGAUUGUAGAAUUCUUUCACCGGGGACGAUAAUGACGGUACCCGGAGAAGAAGCCCCGGCUAACUUCGUGCCAGCCGCCGCAGUAA
This 449-nucleotide ribosomal RNA is filed under the name uncultured bacterium. RNAcentral describes it as "partial 16S ribosomal RNA". It matches the Rfam family "Bacterial small subunit ribosomal RNA", at positions 29 to 523 of the family's 1533-position model. The record is from RNAcentral.